Patella vulgata (common limpet) is the source of this 976-nucleotide long non-coding RNA. RefSeq lists it as uncharacterized. Lineage: Eukaryota; Metazoa; Mollusca; Gastropoda; Patellidae. The record is from RefSeq and is a predicted model, not a curated record. The transcript has 2 exons.
UAUACCCCGGGCAUGUGGUAGUGUAUAUAAAUUAAAAAAAUAUAAAUCAUGGGGUUUACGAUGAUGCCGUAUAUUAUAAAUGCGUCGAUUGUAGUUUAAGGCAUAACGGUUUCAAUAACGCAUCUGAGUAAGUUCAUCAGUAAUUUGGACACUGAAAAACAGUUUCAGAUUAUAUUAGUCAAUUGAUAGUAUCCCAAUAUUACAACCUGUCGGCGGAACUCUGGUGGAUGUGGAAAGUGACAAUGAAACUUUUAAUUAUUACCAUCUGUAUGAUUAGUAGUGCUUUCAUAGCACAGAGCGAUGCUGGAUCAUUGUUGCGACUGAAGAGACAAGGAUACGGUUACGGCGGGGGCAGUGGAUAUGGCCAAGAUCCUAACGCAAUGCAAGGUGGUUACGGCGGUGGUGGAUAUGGCCAGGAUCCUAACGCCAUGCAGAGUGGUUACGGUGGUGGUGGAUAUGGACAAGACCCAAACGCCAUGCAGGGCGGUUACGGCGGUGGAGGAUAUGGACAAGACCCAAACGCCCAGGGUGGUUAUGGCGGUGGUGGAUAUGGACAAGACCCAAACGCCCAGGGUGGUUAUGGCGGUGGUGGAUAUGGACAAGACCCUAACGCCAUGCAGGGUGGAUACCAAAGGCAAUACUAGGGAUAUAAUAUAAUAAAUUGCCGUCCUAUUUAAUAUAGCCAAACAUAUAAACUCCUGUGAUUAUUUAUUUGUACGUUAAUAAAAUAAAAUCCUUAAUAAAUGUAUAGAAAAAGAAAUUGUCCAUGCAUAGUUGUCAGGUAAUCUGAUCUAGAUGUAUUCACAAAAUACAUAGACUUGACGCUGUCAGAUUUAGUUGAUAGCGUUAACUGUAUGUUUUUUUAAAAAUGCAGUAAUGUGAAUACAUCUACAGCUAUGUAUAUUUAUUUAGUGUAAAUAUUUGAGAGAUACUUGAUGUCAUGUUGCAAUAAAAUAUUAAAAUAUAUAAACUUUAA